ACAUCCAAGGAAGGCAGCAGGCGCGUAAAUUACCCAAUCCUGACACAGGGAGGUAGUGACAAUAAAUAACAAUGCCGGGCCUUUGUAGGUCUGGCAAUUGGAAUGAGAACAAUUUAAACCCCUUAUCGAGUAUCAAUUGGAGGGCAAGUCUGGUGCCAGCAGCCGCGGUAAAUCCAGCUCCAAUAGCGUAUAUUAAAGUUGUUGCAGUUAAAAAGCUCGUAGUUGGAUUUGUGGCUGUCUCGAGCGGCCUAGCACCUAGUGUUAGUGCCUGCUUGGGUCGCCAUCCUUGGGUGGAGCCUGUGUGGCAUUAGGUUGUCGUGCAGGGGAUGCCCAUCGUUUACUGUGAGAAAAUUAGAGUGUUCAAAGCAGGCUUAUGCCGUUGAAUAUGUUAGCAUGGAAUAAUAAGAUAGGACCUCGGUACUAUUUUGUUGGUUUGCGCACGAGGUAAUGAUUAAUAGGGACAGUUGGGGGUAUUC
RNAcentral lists this ribosomal RNA (476 nucleotides) under uncultured diatom. RNAcentral describes it as "SSU rRNA". It matches the Rfam family "Eukaryotic small subunit ribosomal RNA", at positions 412 to 893 of the family's 1831-position model. The record is from RNAcentral. Lineage: Eukaryota; Bacillariophyta.